CAGGACGAACGCUGGCGGCGUGCCUAACACAUGCAAGUCGAGCGAGGAGAUUCCUUCGGGAUGAUCCUAGCGGCGGACGGGUGAGUAACACGUGGGCAACCUGCCUCAUAGAGAGGAAUAGCCUUCCGAAAGGGAGAUUAAUACCUCAUAACAUUGCAGUUUCGCAUGGAACAGCAAUUAAAGGAGUAAUCCGCUAUGAGAUGGGCCCGCGGCGCAUUAGCUAGUUGGUGAGGUAACGGCUCACCAAGGCGACGAUGCGUAGCCGACCUGAGAGGGUGAUCGGCCACAUUGGGACUGAGACACGGCCCAGACUCCUACGGGAGGCAGCAGUGGGGAAUAUUGCACAAUGGGGGAAACCCUGAUGCAGCAACGCCGCGUGAGUGAUGACGGCCUUCGGGUUGUAAAGCUCUGUCUUCAGGGACGAUAAUGACGGUACCUGAGGAGGAAGCCACGGCUAACUACGUGCCAGCCGCCGC
RNAcentral lists this ribosomal RNA (476 nucleotides) under uncultured bacterium. RNAcentral describes it as "bacterial SSU rRNA". It matches the Rfam family "Bacterial small subunit ribosomal RNA", at positions 25 to 518 of the family's 1533-position model. The record is from RNAcentral.